This 22-nucleotide microRNA is filed under the name Citrus sinensis (sweet orange). RNAcentral describes it as "csi-miR482b-3p". Its record names the gene csi-miR482b-3p. The record is from miRBase by way of RNAcentral. Lineage: Eukaryota; Viridiplantae; Streptophyta; Magnoliopsida; Sapindales; Rutaceae.
UCUUGCCCACCCCUCCCAUUCC